RNAcentral lists this ribosomal RNA (429 nucleotides) under Verrucomicrobiota bacterium. Its description in RNAcentral is "Verrucomicrobia bacterium partial 16S ribosomal RNA". It matches the Rfam family "Bacterial small subunit ribosomal RNA", at positions 355 to 776 of the family's 1533-position model. The record is from RNAcentral. Lineage: Bacteria; Pseudomonadati; Verrucomicrobiota.
UGGGGAAUCUUCCGCAAUGGACGAAAGUCUGACGGAGCAACGCCGCGUGAGUGAAGACGGCCUUCGGGUUGUAAAGCUCUGUGAUCCGGGACGAAAGAGCCUUGGGUUAAUAGCCUAAGGAAGUGACGGUACCGGAAAAGCAAGCCACGGCUAACUACGUGCCAGCAGCCGCGGUAAUACGUAGGUGGCAAGCGUUGUCCGGAAUUAUUGGGCGUAAAGCGCGCGCAGGCGGCUUCCUAAGUCCAUCUUAAAAGUGCGGGGCUUAACCCCGUGAUGGGAUGGAAACUGGGAAGCUGGAGUAUCGGAGAGGAAAGUGGAAUUCCUAGUGUAGCGGUGAAAUGCGUAGAGAUUAGGAAGAACACCGGUGGCGAAAGCGGCUCUCUGGUCUGUAACUGACGCUGAGGCUCGAAAGCGUGGGGAGCGAACAGG